RNAcentral lists this unclassified non-coding RNA (303 nucleotides) under Hevea brasiliensis (rubber tree). Lineage: Eukaryota; Viridiplantae; Streptophyta; Magnoliopsida; Malpighiales; Euphorbiaceae. The record is from RNAcentral.
UGUCAAUUUGAUGCUUCUGGGAAAGGCAAGUGCGAGACUGGUGAUUGCAAUGGGCUUCUUGUUUGUCAAGGCUACGGUGCAGCCCCUAACACCUUAGCCGAAUACGCACUAGACCAGUUUGAACACCAAGAUUUUAUCGAUAUCUCUGUGAUUGAUGGGUUUAACGUUCCUAUGGAGUUUAGUUCAGCUUCAGGAAGCUGCACCAGAGUGAUCAAAUGCACUGCUGAUAUUAUUGGGCAAUGUCCUAAUGAAUUGAAGGUCCCUGGAGGGUGCAAUGGUCCAUGCCCCGUCUUCAAGACUGAG